RNAcentral lists this long non-coding RNA (1307 nucleotides) under Homo sapiens (human). RNAcentral describes it as "HSALNT0070174". Lineage: Eukaryota; Metazoa; Chordata; Mammalia; Primates; Hominidae. The record is from RNAcentral.
GAGACGGAGUCUCGCUCUGUCGCCCAGGCUGGAGUGCAGUGGCGCUAUCUCGGCUCACUGCAAGCUCUGCCUCCCAGGUUUACGCCGUUCUCCUGCCUCAGCCUCCCGAGUAGCUGGGACUACAGGAGUCUGAGGUGGGAGGAUCACCAGAGCCCAGGGAGGUAAAAGCUGCAGUGAGCCGUGAUUGCACCACUGCACUCCAGCCUGGGAGUGAGACAUUGCCUCCCUCACCCCAUCCCCUCCCCCUAAAAAAGAACAGAACAUGUCAAAGAGAAGCCAGUACAACAUAUCAAAUAUUAAGAAUAUAGUUAAGAGUUUCAAGAAAGAAUGCUCAUACCUAUCAUUCACCAAACUCUAAUAAGCCUAUUAUAUAAUAAGAUGCCACAAUAAACACUGUGUUACUUAGAUUCAAAUACAGACAUCUCACCAAUCUCCUUUGAUUUUUGAUUCUGAAACUGAGUGUCCUCAGGCUCAUAUUCUAGCUACUGAGCCCAUCUGGCCUUAAGGGUAAGCCACAUCGUGCUUAAAAGACACAGCCAAAGAGAGAAUGAACAAACAGAAAAGAGAUAGAAGAGACUUAUCCCAAAUCAGGUGAUUUGUUUUCAAUUUUAUCACCACAAAAUUUUCUUGCAUUUUUCUCAAAGUUUCUCUUAUUUUAUAAACACCUUAAAAUAACUGUUCACAGUAUUUACUUGACAAGUUUUACUUCUGUUCUUAUAGCCGUUAACACAGCAUACUUAAACUAAAUAAAACCUUUUAAAUUAUGUUUCAUCUUUAUUGCUACUCAACAGACGUUUUUGGCUUUUGCAGUACGCAAGGGUCUUGGUCAUAAUUACCAAUGAUCACUCUGUAGAGGACUGUAAAUGAAAUCCACGUAUUUGAAUAUUUGAAUUUGGAGGUGCUUAGUUUUUAGAUAAAGACUAAAGCCAACUGUAUGUACUUUUGGAUCCGCUCAAUUGCUUCCUUUUAGUACUCUGUUAUGACAAUGUAUUUCCAAUUAAGCCCUAGAUUCAGAGAAACUUUAAUGCACUGAUCAAUAUUCACAUUCCUGAAGAAACAGGUGCCUAAUCACAUCUGAAAGUAGCCAAAGUUUCCAUUUUGUAUAACAAAGGCUCUAUUAAUAAAAUAAUUCUAAAAACGAUUCCUGUAUAACUAGACUACCUUAGCCAUUUAGUACAUUAAUUUGUUACUCAUUAAAUACUUAAAAUUUCUUAGUAUAUUAAUUCACUCAAAGAAACUGGAUGUACCAACAUUUAAGAUAAAUUUUUAUGAGCAUGCACAAACUCACUUUUGCUUUUGAGUGGAUU